GCCAGGCGCGGUGGCUCACGCCUGUAAUCCCAGCACUUUGGGAGGCUGAGGUGGGCGGAUCACCUGAGGUCAGGAGUUCUAGAUCAGCCUGGCCAACAUGGUGAAAUCCCGUCUCUA
Macaca fascicularis (crab-eating macaque) is the source of this 117-nucleotide unclassified non-coding RNA. It matches the Rfam family "Metazoan signal recognition particle RNA". From Rfam's summary of the family: The signal recognition particle (SRP) is a universally conserved ribonucleoprotein. The record is from Ensembl. Lineage: Eukaryota; Metazoa; Chordata; Mammalia; Primates; Cercopithecidae.